Molecule: ribosomal RNA, 495 nt
Filed under: uncultured bacterium
Lineage: Bacteria
Description: partial 16S ribosomal RNA
Rfam family: Bacterial small subunit ribosomal RNA
Source: RNAcentral
GACGAACGCUGGCGGCGUGCCUAAUACAUGCAAGUAGAACGCUGAAGGAGGAGCUUGCUUCUCCGGAUGAGUUGCGAACGGGUGAGUAACGCGUAGGUAACCUGCCUGGUAGCGGGGGAUAACUAUUGGAAACGAUAGCUAAUACCGCAUAACAGUAGAUAUCGCAUGAUAUCUGCUUGAAAGGUGCAAUUGCAUCACUACCAGAUGGACCUGCGUUGUAUUAGCUAGUUGGUGAGGUAACGGCUCACCAAGGCGACGAUACAUAGCCGACCUGAGAGGGUGAUCGGCCACACUGGGACUGAGACACGGCCCAGACUCCUACGGGAGGCAGCAGUAGGGAAUCUUCGGCAAUAGACGGAAGUCUGACCGAGCAACGCCGCGUGAGUGAAGAAGGUUUUCGGAUCGUAAAGCUCUGUUGUAAGAGAAGAACGAGUGUGAGAGUGGAAAGUUCACACUGUGACGGUAUCUUACCAGAAAGGGACGGCUAACUACGUG